AGUUGGUGGAUGGAGAGUGCGUGGAGCUUCUGGAUCCGUGUUUCGGAUCUAACUGCGAGUUUCAGUGCCAGCCAGUGAGCCCCACCGACU
RNAcentral lists this unclassified non-coding RNA (90 nucleotides) under Mus musculus (house mouse). RNAcentral describes it as "partial probably derived from hnRNA or mRNA fragment, protein coding region". Lineage: Eukaryota; Metazoa; Chordata; Mammalia; Rodentia; Muridae. The record is from RNAcentral.